RNAcentral lists this ribosomal RNA (491 nucleotides) under uncultured bacterium. RNAcentral describes it as "partial 16S ribosomal RNA". It matches the Rfam family "Bacterial small subunit ribosomal RNA", at positions 29 to 507 of the family's 1533-position model. The record is from RNAcentral.
GUGAACGCUGGCGGUAGGCCUAACCCAUGCAAGUCGAACGGCAGCACAGUAAGAGCUUGCUCUUUCGGGUGGCGAGUGGCGGACGGGUGAGGAAUACAUUGGAAUCUACUUUUUCGUGGGGGAUAACGUAGGGAAACUUACGCUAAUACCGCAUACGACCUACGGGUGAAAGCAGGGGAUCUUCGGACCUUGCGCGGUUGAAUGAGCCGGUGUCGGAUUAGCUAGUUGGCGGGGUAAAGGCCCACCAAGGCGACGAUCCGUAGCUGGUCUGAGAGGAUGAUCAGCCACACUGGAACUGAGACACGGUCCAGACUCCGACGGGAGGCAGCAGUGGGGAAUAUUGGACAAUGGGCGCAAGCCUGAUCCAGCCAUACCGCGUGAGUGAAGAAGGCCUUCGGGUUGUAAAGCCCUUUUGUUGGGAAAGAAAAGCAGCAGGUUAAUACCCCGCUGUUCUGACGGUACCCAAAGAAUAAGCACCGGCUAACUUCGUG